ACACGACUACAUUAGAUACCCCUGUAGUCCCAGCCCUAAACGAUGCGCGUUAGGUGUAUCGGUGACCACGAGUCACCGAGGUGCCGAAGGGAAACCGUGAAACGUGCCGCCUGGGAAGUACGGUCGCAAGGCUGAAACUUAAAGGAAUUGGCGGGGGAGCACCACAAGAGGUGGAGGCUGCGGUUCAAUUGGACUCAACGCCGGAAAUCUUACCGGGACCGACAGCAACAUGAAGGCCAAGCUGAAGACUUUGCCGGAUUAGCUG
RNAcentral lists this ribosomal RNA (265 nucleotides) under uncultured archaeon. RNAcentral describes it as "partial 16S ribosomal RNA". It matches the Rfam family "Archaeal small subunit ribosomal RNA", at positions 717 to 982 of the family's 1478-position model. The record is from RNAcentral.